UACGAAGGGUGCAAGCGUUACUCGGAAUUACUGGGCGUAAAGCGUGCGUAGGUGGUCGUUUAAGUCUGUUGUGAAAGCCCUGGGCUCAACCUGGGAACUGCAGUGGAAACUGGACGACUAGAGUGUGGUAGAGGGUAGCGGAAUUCCUGGUGGUAGCAGUGAAAUGCGUAGAGAUCGGGAGGAACAUCCAUGGCGAAGGCAGCUACCUGGACCAACACUGACACUGAGGCACGAAAGCGUGGGGGAGCAAAACA
RNAcentral lists this ribosomal RNA (254 nucleotides) under uncultured bacterium. RNAcentral describes it as "partial 16S ribosomal RNA". It matches the Rfam family "Bacterial small subunit ribosomal RNA", at positions 524 to 775 of the family's 1533-position model. The record is from RNAcentral.